GACGAACGCUGGCGGCGUGCUUAACACAUGCGAGUCGAACGGAAAGGCCCUGCUUUUGUGGGGUGCUCGAGUGGCGAACGGGUGAGUAACACGUGAGUAACCUGCCCUUGACUUUGGGAUAACUUCAGGAAAUUGGGGCUAAUACCGGAUAGGAGCUCCUGCUGCAUGGUGGGGGUUGGAAAGUUUCGGCGGUUGGGGAUGGACUCGCGGCUUAUCAGCUUGUUGGUGGGGUAGUGGCUUACCAAGGCUUUGACGGGUAGCCGGCCUGAGAGGGUGACCGGCCACAUUGGGACUGAGAUACGGCCCAGACUCCUACGGGAGGCAGCAGUGGGGAAUAUUGCACAAUGGGCGGAAGCCUGAUGCAGCAACGCCGCGUGCGGGAUGACGGCCUUCGGGUUGUAAACCGCUUUCGCCUGUGACGAAGCGUGAGUGACGGUAAUGGGUAAAGAAGCACCGGCUAACUACGUG
RNAcentral lists this ribosomal RNA (468 nucleotides) under uncultured bacterium. Its description in RNAcentral is "partial 16S ribosomal RNA". It matches the Rfam family "Bacterial small subunit ribosomal RNA", at positions 28 to 507 of the family's 1533-position model. The record is from RNAcentral.